ACAUCCAGAGAAUUUAGCAGAGAUGCUUUAGUGCCUUCGGGAACUCUGAGACAGGUGCUGCAUGGCUGUCGUCAGCUCGUGUUGUGAAGUGUUGGGUUAAGUCCCGCAACGAGCGCAACCCUUAUCCUUUGUUGCCAGCACGUAAUGGUGGGAACUCAAAGGAGACUGCCGGUGAUAAACCGGAGGAAGGUGGGGAUGACGUCAAGUCAUCAUGGCCCUUACGAGUAGGGCUACACACGUGCUACAAUGGCGCAUACAAAGAGAAGCGACCUCGCGAGAGCAAGCGGACCUCAUAAAGUGCGUCGUAGUCCGGAUUGGAGUCUGCAACUCGACUCCAUGAAGUCGGAAUCGCUAGUAAUCGUAAAUCAGAAUGUUACGGUGAAUACGUUCCCGGGCCUUGUACACACCGCCCGUCACACCAUGGGAGUGGGUUGCAAAAGAAGUAGAUAGCUUAACCUUCGGGAGGGCGUUUACCACUUUGUGAUUCAUGACUGGGGUGAAGUCGUAACAAGGUAAGCGUAGUGCU
RNAcentral lists this ribosomal RNA (526 nucleotides) under uncultured bacterium. RNAcentral describes it as "bacterial SSU rRNA". It matches the Rfam family "Bacterial small subunit ribosomal RNA", at positions 984 to 1509 of the family's 1533-position model. The record is from RNAcentral.